AACGAACGCUGGCGGCAGGCCUAACACAUGCAAGUCGAGCGAGGACUUCGGUUCUAGCGGCGGACGGGGGAGUAACGCGGGGGAAUGUGCCCUUCUCUACGGAAUAGUCCUGGGUAACUUGGAGUAAUACCGUAUACGCCCUUUUGGGGUAAGAUUUAUCGGGGAAGGAUCAGCCCGCGUUGGAUUAGGUAGUUGGGGGGGUAAUGGCCUACCAAGCCGACGAUCCAUAGCUGGUUUGAGAGGAUGAUCAGCCACAAUUGGACUGAGACACGGACCAGACUCCUACGGGAGGGAGCAGUGGAGAAUCUUAGACAAUGGGGCCAAAUGUGAUAUCGCCAUGCCGCGUGAGUGAUGCAGGCCUUAGGGUUGUAAAGCUCUUUCAGCUGGGAAGAUAAUGACGGUACCAGCAGAAGAAGCCCCGGCUAACUCCGUG
RNAcentral lists this ribosomal RNA (433 nucleotides) under uncultured bacterium. Its description in RNAcentral is "partial 16S ribosomal RNA". It matches the Rfam family "Bacterial small subunit ribosomal RNA", at positions 29 to 507 of the family's 1533-position model. The record is from RNAcentral.